AUCGGCCAUUUCGACGGUUAUGCAAAUGAGAGACAAUUAUUUAGCAUAUUUCGCGGGAGGCUCCGCCCCUUCUUGCGGGGGAUGUUAGGGAAAUUAUUGGUCAGAGCCCGCGCGGGCUGAUAAGGGAUUUAAGGAGGAACGGGUGACGGUUGGUUGUUUAGGUGGGCAGGCGGGGAGGGGAUGGCAAGGUAAGGUAGUGCAGCGCUGCUCCUUCUGCUGUUUACAUCUUGGAAAGAAGUAAUAUGCGAUGCUCCCUGGCGCAGCCUAUUUACCCAACGAAAAGCUGUUGCCUGGCAAGAAAGGAGCUCCAUAAUUUCCACGCUGUUAUUCAUGGAUGAAUCACUAGUCCUCAGCAUCAGUUUCCCUUUCGGAGUGCUAGAUCAUAUUUUUAGAAAUUAAAUAAGUGAUCCUGGUGUUCUGUGGAGGUAUGGCAAUCCAAAAUCAUUGCCUAUUAGUUAUUCUGUCCUAGGUCCUUCCCCCCUCUUCCCUUUUUGGCAGGUUCCUUUGCUUCACAAGUUUGUCACAAUAUUUUUGUAGGUGCUCAUACCUGCUAAUUUUUUUUAAAAAAUUGCUGCCAGUAGCUGGCAUGCCUUUUUUUGUUUUUGUUUUUUUAGAAUUACUAAGGAUUUCAGAUUACGUAAAUGGCAAACCCAUUAUCCAAGAUUACACACAAAGUUGCAAGUAGGAUGUGCAAUGCUUUAACUACAGAAAAUAUUAAUUGAUAAUUUAACUUGGACCCUGAUCUGUUUACUUAGAGGUGCUCAGAGUGCACAAUAAAAAUACAUUUGCAAGGGUGGGGUGGGGGAGAUCUAGAUCUCUCUUUCUAAGCUGCUGUUGCUGAGAGAUCUGAUUUGCCCAACAUAAGCGAUGCAGUGUUUAGUUGCUCAGCUUUUCAGUGUUUUGUGUCUGGGAUAAUUUGAUUAUUCUAACAAAUAGUAUUUUGUUAAAAGAAUCAUUUUGCUCAAAAUUGAGUGGAUAGUGAUUGUGUAAGUGUCAGAUAUUUGGUGGACGGUGCCUGUGACAUGACUUAAAUGCAAAACACUUGCUGUUUUGUCAAAUUUUUAACAUUUUUAUAUUUUUCUUUCCAUAGACCAAGAGCACUCCCAUGCUCCAGCAAAAGUAUACUCAUCUACCAAUUUAUUAAAAAGAGGUGGAAUGGAUUCUAAUGUAGCUCACAGCUGCUCAGUGUUGUUCAGUUCUCCAUUUUGGAGGGGGACAGAAUAGCACACACAUUCCCCAACAGAUCCUGUUUGCUUUCUUACCUCCAGCUCUCCCCACAUUGAUCUAUCCAGUCCCUUUCCCCGUGUGUCUGAUCUCCUUCACCUUCUACAGAUUUUCCUGCAGCAAUGCUAUCACAAGUCACUCUGAGGAUCCCAUGUGGAUGGAGACAUACACAUUUUAGAAGUACAGAAUUCUAGAAGUACACAAAUAGAAGAACAUAUAAAAUCAGAUUCGGGUUGACCUGGUUUCCAAAGUUACUGCAGAGUCUACUGUGGAGGUGUCCAGCAACUCCUCUUAUGUGAUUAGAUUGGAUCAUUUUCAGUUUGUGAUUCCUGAGAAAGUGGACAAACUGCUUCAGACUGUGUGUCCUACAACCUGUUAUCUUUUAUUUUAUUUUUAUUUAUUUAUUUAUUUAUUUAUUUAUUCGAUUUCUAUACUGCCCUUCCCAAAAUGGCUCAGGGCAGUGGGACUGGGUGGCACUGUUAUACAAUGGUUCCAUUCCUUCCUCUCUGGUAGAUUCCAGAUGGUGUUGCUUGGAGACUGUUGUUCUGCAAAGCGAGAACUAAAGUAUGGAGUUCCACAAGGCUCCAUACUGUCUCCAAUGAGGUUUAGAGGCUUGGUGCUGGGUCUUAUCAAUAUGCUGAUGACACCCAGAUCUAUUUCUCCAUGUCAACCUCAUUAGGAAAUGGCAUAUCUUCUCUAAAUUCCUGCUUGGAGGCGGUAAUGGGCUGGAUGAGUGAUAACAAACUGAAGUUGAAUCCAAAUAAGAUGUGGGGCUGCCUUUCUAUGUAGCCUAGAAACUACAAUUGGUACAGAAUGCAGCAGCCAGAUUGGUCUCUGGGACAAUUCAAAGGGACCACAUAACACCAGUUUUAAGGGAACUGCACUGGUUGCCAAUAUGUUUCCAGGUGAAAUACAAAGUGCUGGUUAUUUCCUAUAAAGCCCUUAAUAGCUGGGGUCUAGGCUAUUUAAGAGAGCGCCUCCUUUAUCAUGAACCCUGCUGCCUGUUAUUAUCUUCCGGUCUGGUUACAGUUGCCACCAGCUUGUUUGGUGGCAACCCAGGACCAGGCUUCCUCUGUGGUUGUCCCGGGGCUUUUGAAUAUGCUCCCUGCUGAAAUAAGAGCAGCUCCUUCUCUGUUUGUUUUCAGAAAGAUCCUCAAGACUCACCUGCUCUCACAGGCUUUUAAUUAGAAUUAAUUUUAAUAAUUUGUUUUAAUAAUUAUUUUAUGCUACUGUUUUUAUUUCUGUUUUAUACUACUAUUUUAAUUGUUUCGUGUAUUUUAAUCUGUGCUGAUUUUUAAAUAUUGUUUUAAAUUUUGUACACUGCCUAGAGAUGUACAUAUCAGGCAGUAUAAAAACACAAUCAGUCAAUCAAUAUAAGAAUACCAAGUAAAAGUAGUAAAACUGCUAAUUGUAGUUGUACCUUCAACUUCAAUUGAUUGAUUAAGUACUGUAAAGUCGGUGUCGACUCUUAGCGACCACAUAGAUAGAUUCUCUCCAGGAUGAUCUGUCUUCAGCUUGGCCUUUAAGGUCUCUCAGUGGUGCAUUCAUUGCUGUCGUAAUUGAGUUCAUCCACCUUUCUGCUAGUCAUCCUCUUCUUCUCUUUCCUUCAACUUUCCCCAGCAUUAUGGACUUCUGAAGGGAGCUGGGUUUUCGCAUAAUAUAUCCAAAGUAUGACAGUUUGCGCCUGGUCAUUUGUGCCUUGAGUGAAAAUUGCGGACUGAUCUGUUCUAUGAUCCAUUUGUUUGUUUCCUUGGCUGUCUGUGGUAUUCUCAAAAGUCUUCUCCAGCACCAAAGUUCAAAAGCGUCGAUACUUUUUCUAUCUUGCUUCUUCAAAAUCCACCUUUCGCAUCCAUAGAGUGUCAUGGGAAAAACCAUGGUCCGAACGAUUCUAAUCUUUGUAGGUACAGAAACAUCAUGGCAUCUAUCCUUUCCAAGGCCUUCAUUGCAACCCAACCAAGUAGUAGUCUGUGGCGUAUUUCUUGACUGCUGGAUCCUUUACUGUUGAUGAUCGAUCCUAAAAGGCAGAAGUUAUCCACCACUUCAAUGUCUUUAUUAUCAAUUCUGAGGCUGGCUGCUGUACCUAUUCUCAUUAUUUGAGUCUUCCUUACAUUCAGUUGUAUUUUAUCUUAUUUUCUCCCAUUUUAUCUCUAUGCUCCUUGACUUUCAUGAUUAGAGCUUGCAGAUCAUCUGCAUUCUCAGCUGUCAGAGUGGUGUCAUCAGCGUAGCGCAGGUUAUUGAUGUUUCUUCCUCCAACUUUAAAGCCACGCUCAUCUUUCAAUCCAGCUUCUCUCCGUGUAUGUUCAGCAUAGGAAUUGAAUAAAUAAGGAGAAAGUUUACAGCCUUGUCUUACUCCUUUGCUGACCUGAAACCAGUCUGUUUCACCAUGUUCCAUCUGGACUGUGGCUUCCUGUCAUGUGUAUAGUUUUCUCAUGAGAACAAUGAGAUGUUCUGGGAUGCCCAUUUUCUUAAACAUAUUCCACAACUUGACAUGGUUGACACAAUCAAAACUUUUCUGUAAUCAAUAAAGCACAUAUUGACUUCUUUUUGGUAUUCUUUGGCUUUCCCAAUUAUCCAGCGUGCAUCAGCAAUGAUGUCCCUUGUUCCUCGGCCUUUUCUGAAACCAGCUUGAACAUCCAGUAUUUCCCUUUCCACAUAGGGCUCUAAUCUGCGUUGGAUGAUCCUGAGCAUUAUUUUGCUAGCAUGUGAAAUUAAGGAUAUUGUGCAGUGCUUUACACAAUCUGUUAAGUCUCCUUUCUUUGGUAUGGGUAUGUAAACUGACCUCUUCCAAUCUGUUAUCCCCUGUGUCAUUCUCCAAAUUUGCUGGCAUAGUUUGGUUUGAGCCUUGACUGCUGGUUCUUCUGUUGCCUGCCAUAUUUCUGCAGCUAUUCCAUCAGUUCCUGUAGCCUUCCAACUUGGUAAUGACCGGAGUCCUGAUCUAACUUCAUCUUCCUGUACUAGAGGUUCUUGCAAGUAGGGAAUAUCUUCUAGAGUAUUUUGGAUGUUGACGUCCCUCCUGUACAGAUUUUCAGUAUACUUCUUCUGUCUCUGUUUGAUCAUCUCGAAUCAGUUAUUAUUUGUCCUUUGGCAUCCCUUAACAUACCAGUUUGAGGUUGGAACCUCCCUCUGAGUUCAGUGAUCUUUUGGAAAACCUUCCUUGUUUUUCCAUGUAUAUUUCCAUCCUCAAGGUCUUUACAGAUGUCAUUGUAGUACUGCUUUUUGUCUCUUCUAACAGCUUUCUAAAAUUCCCUAUUAAGUUCCUUCCUGAGGACUUUAUCUUUCUUGACUUUGGCUUCUCUCCUCUUCUUGGCAAUUUCCACCAUCUGUUCUGACAUCCAUUUUGCUUCCUUCUGUUUCUUGGUCUUUGGCAGUCUUUUUUCACAUUUGUCCUUAACAAUUUAUUUGAUUUCAUUCCACAGUUCCUCUGGUUUCCUAUCAAUGAGGUUCAGAACUUCAAAGUGGUUCCUGAUGUUCUCCUUGAAAAUGCUUUUCUUUUGUUUUUGGCUGGAAAUAUGCAAAACACGGUUGAAGAACAUCGAUAACCUUGCUAAAUAUGGUGAUUUAGUCAACCAUAUUAGAUUGCUGUAACACGUUCCAUAUGAACCUGCCCUUGAAAAAUAUCUGGACACUUCAGUCGGUGAAAAAUGCAACAGCUAGACUCCUCCUCUCUCUCCCCUUUCCCCCAGAUGUGAAGCCUUUGGACAUCUUGAAACCAAUUUACACAUUCAAGCAUCUGACUACAUGGGCUGUAGUCCACGAAAAGGGCUGAAACAGACUAGGCUGAAAUAAACUGAAGACACAAAGACAUUAGCAGUUGUGGCUUUUGGAUUUUUUUCUAAUGGAUCACCACAGCUACCUAGGUUUGCUGACAACCUUGGGGCUUUUGUCUUACUAUUCUUUUCUUACGAAUUUGUCUUACUAUUCUUUUCUUACGAAUUUGUCUUACUAUUCUUUUCUUACGAAUUUGUCUUACUAUUAACCUCAGGAUAGGUGAUAAUUUAAAUAAUAGCAGGUCUGGGUUUUUUGUUUGUUUGAUAUGCGGAAGUGCAGAGUUGCUACAGAUGCAAAGUGACCAGUGAAUAAAGGAUAGGUGGCUGCUUUUUA
This is a long non-coding RNA of Hemicordylus capensis (graceful crag lizard), 5325 nucleotides long. RefSeq lists it as uncharacterized. The transcript is spliced from 6 exons. NCBI's taxonomy places the organism in Eukaryota, Metazoa, Chordata, Lepidosauria, Squamata, Cordylidae. The record is from RefSeq and is a predicted model, not a curated record.